This 468-nucleotide ribosomal RNA is filed under the name uncultured bacterium. RNAcentral describes it as "partial 16S ribosomal RNA". It matches the Rfam family "Bacterial small subunit ribosomal RNA", at positions 28 to 507 of the family's 1533-position model. The record is from RNAcentral.
GACGAACGCUGGCGGCGUGCUUAACACAUGCAAGUCGAACGGAAAGACCCUGCUUUUGUGGGGUGCUCGAGUGGCGAACGGGUGAGUAACACGUGAGUAACCUGCCCUUGACUUUGGGAUAACUUCAGGAAACUGGGGCUAAUACCGGAUAGGAGCUCCUGCUGCAUGGUGGGGGUUGGAAAGUUUCGGCGGUUGGGGAUGGACUCGCGGCUUAUCAGCUUGUUGGUGGGGUAGUGGCUUACCAAGGCUUUGACGGGUAGCCGGCCUGAGAGGGUGACCGGCCACAUUGGGACUGAGAUACGGCCCAGACUCCUACGGGAGGCAGCAGUGGGGAAUAUUGCACAAUGGGCGGAAGCCUGAUGCAGCAACGCCGCGUGCGGGAUGACGGCCUUCGGGUUGUAAACCGCUUUCGCCUGCGACGAAGCGUGAGUGACGGUAAUGGGUAAAGAGGCACCGGCUAACUACGUG